UACGGAAGGUGCAAGCGUUGUUCGGAUUGACUGGGCGUAAAGCGCACGUAGGCGGAUUUAUAAGUCGGAUGUGAAAGCCCCGGGCUUAACCUGGGAACUGCAUCCGAAACUAUUUAUCUUGAAUACCUCAGGGGUUGGUGGAAUUCCAAGUGUAGGAGUGAAAUCCGUAGAUAUUUGGAGGAACACCAGAGGCGAAGGCGGCCAACUGGGAGUGUAUUGACGCUGAGGUGCGAAAGCGUGGGGAGCAAACAGG
This 253-nucleotide ribosomal RNA is filed under the name uncultured bacterium. Its description in RNAcentral is "partial 16S ribosomal RNA". It matches the Rfam family "Bacterial small subunit ribosomal RNA", at positions 524 to 776 of the family's 1533-position model. The record is from RNAcentral.